Molecule: small nuclear RNA, 103 nt
Organism: Lagopus muta (rock ptarmigan)
Lineage: Eukaryota; Metazoa; Chordata; Aves; Galliformes; Phasianidae
Source: RefSeq, a predicted model, not a curated record
UUGCUUCGGCAGCACAUAUACUAAAAUCAGAACAAUACAGAGAAGAUCAGCAUGGGACCUGCAUGAGGAUGACACAAAAUUUUGUUAAGCGUUCCAUUGAGCU